GUGUCAGCAGCCGCGGUAAAACGUAGGAGACAAACGUUAUCCGGAGUUACUGGGCGUAAAGGGCGUGUAGGUGGUUUUGUAAGUCUGGCGUGAAAUUUUUCGGCUUAACCGGGAAAGGUCGUCGGAUACUGCAGGACUAGAGGACGGUAGAGGCGUGUGGAAUUCCGGGUGUAGUGGUGAAAUGCGUAGAGAUCCGGAGGAACACCAGUGGCGAAGGCGACACGCUGGGCCGUACCUGACACUGAUGCGCGACAGCAUGGGGAGCAAACAGGAUUAGAAACCCGCGUAGUCC
RNAcentral lists this ribosomal RNA (292 nucleotides) under uncultured bacterium. Its description in RNAcentral is "partial 16S ribosomal RNA". It matches the Rfam family "Bacterial small subunit ribosomal RNA", at positions 505 to 796 of the family's 1533-position model. The record is from RNAcentral.